This 282-nucleotide ribosomal RNA is filed under the name Rhodothermaeota bacterium MED-G19. RNAcentral describes it as "partial 23S ribosomal RNA". It matches the Rfam family "Bacterial large subunit ribosomal RNA", at positions 2628 to 2925 of the family's 2925-position model. Lineage: Bacteria; Pseudomonadati; Rhodothermota. The record is from RNAcentral.
AGUUCGGUCCCUAUCUGUUGUGAUCGUUAGAAGCUUGAGAGGACCUGACUCUAGUACGAGAGGACCGAGUUGGACAAACCUCUAGUGUACCGGUUGUAGUGCCAACUGCACCGCCGGGUAGCUACGUUUGGAAGAGAUAAGCACUGAAAGCAUCUAAGUGCGAAGCUCACCUCAAGAUGAGGCUUCUUUUAAGGGACGUUCAAGACUAGGACGUUGAUAGGCUGUAGGUGUAAAGACAGAAAUGUCAAAGCUGAGCAGUACUAAUUACCCGUAACUUCCUCA